UGCAGCAAAUGAUGUUGACAAAACACAAUUAGGAAACAAUCAGAAAGAGGAGGAUGUGAAUUUGUCGAUACAAAUCUCUAACGAACGUCAUGAUUCAGGAAUUGGUAGUUCAGAUACCAGUCACAGGACUAAUUUAGGAAAUAGAAGGAGCAGCAAAACACCUGAACUACAAGAUCACUCAUUGAGAGGGUUGGAAGUGCUUGGAUUGACGUUUGUGGAACUUCAGACUUGAAAACAAGUGUGUGCAGAUCUUUUGGUGAUGGGCAGCCAGAGGAGCAGACGCCAGGGCAGAUACAAGGAAAGAUGCCGCCUGACCUGCUGAGCGUUCCCGGCCACUUCUGUUUUUUGUUCCCAUAUUGGAGCCUUUGGAUGGUACAGCUCGUCAUUUAUAACAUUAUUUUGGAGGGAUUGAUUAUUUCAAACCCGGCUCUUGCCAGGCAAGUGCUGCGCCCACUACACUCUGGAGACUUGGAGAUGGUGCGGGGGCUGGAGGAGAAGCCAUUUGCCACGACAAAGUGGAAGCGGUGUGAAAGGCAGGACCUGAACCAAUCAUGGCGAGCUUCAUUAUUUAGCAAACAACAUCUGAUUUACUGGAAAUCCUGAGAUCCUCUGAGGAAACACGUGACUGAGCUGCUCCCUCCCCCCCAGUGAAUGUGAAAGUGUUGACAGAUGAAGGAACUUUGCUCGCUGUUGUUGUGGAAGCCGCCGAGGCAGUAAUUGCUGCUCUUUCUCUCUCACUCACGGACAUUUACUGGCCGUUCCCACAGAUGGUUCUGCUUCUCUAUUCACGAGGGGAUCGGGCGGGCAAGAGAAAGGGAAGGGUUGCGCGGCUGACGGGCUGUCAGGCUCUCAUCCUCCGUGUUAGUGAUUUGUUAUGCACGUAAAGGGGAAGUAAAGUGAUGUCUUUCAGGGUUGAAUUCCUAUUACAUA
This is a long non-coding RNA of Callorhinchus milii (elephant shark), 930 nucleotides long. RefSeq lists it as uncharacterized. The transcript is spliced from 4 exons. The record is from RefSeq and is a predicted model, not a curated record. Lineage: Eukaryota; Metazoa; Chordata; Chondrichthyes; Chimaeriformes; Callorhinchidae.